AUCCUACGGGAGGCAGCAGUGGGGAAUAUUGCACAAUGGGGGAAACCCUGAUGCAGCGACGCCGCGUGAGCGAAGAAGUAUUUCGGUAUGUAAAGCUCUAUCAGCAGGGAAGAAAAAAAUGACGGUACCUGAGUAAGAAGCACCGGCUAAAUACGUGCCAGCAGCCGCGGUAAUACGUAUGGUGCAAGCGUUAUCCGGAUUUACUGGGUGUAAAGGGAGCGUAGGCGGCGCGUUACGUCUGAUGUGAAAACCCGAGGCUCAACAACGGGAGUGCAUUGGA
Molecule: ribosomal RNA, 280 nt
Filed under: uncultured bacterium
Lineage: Bacteria
Description: partial 16S ribosomal RNA
Rfam family: Bacterial small subunit ribosomal RNA
Source: RNAcentral